This 75-nucleotide transfer RNA is filed under the name Candidatus Pelagibacteraceae bacterium. Its description in RNAcentral is "tRNA-Arg". It matches the Rfam family "tRNA". From Rfam's summary of the family: Transfer RNA (tRNA) molecules are approximately 80 nucleotides in length. Their secondary structure includes four short double-helical elements and three loops (D, anti-codon, and T loops). The record is from RNAcentral. Lineage: Bacteria; Pseudomonadati; Pseudomonadota; Alphaproteobacteria; Candidatus Pelagibacterales; Candidatus Pelagibacteraceae.
GGUCCCGUAGUUAAAUGGAUAUAACGGCUCCCUCCUAAGGAGCAGUUGCAGGUUCGAUUCCCGCCGGGAUCGCCA